This 581-nucleotide ribosomal RNA is filed under the name Staphylococcus aureus. RNAcentral describes it as "bacterial SSU rRNA". It matches the Rfam family "Bacterial small subunit ribosomal RNA", at positions 171 to 739 of the family's 1533-position model. Lineage: Bacteria; Bacillati; Bacillota; Bacilli; Caryophanales; Staphylococcaceae. The record is from RNAcentral.
GGAUAAUAUUUUGAACCGCAUGGUUCAAAAGUGAAAGACGGUCUUGCUGUCACUUAUAGAUGGAUCCGCGCUGCAUUAGCUAGUUGGUAAGGUAACGGCUUACCAAGGCAACGAUGCAUAGCCGACCUGAGAGGGUGAUCGGCCACACUGGAACUGAGACACGGUCCAGACUCCUACGGGAGGCAGCAGUAGGGAAUCUUCCGCAAUGGGCGAAAGCCUGACGGAGCAACGCCGCGUGAGUGAUGAAGGUCUUCGGAUCGUAAAACUCUGUUAUUAGGGAAGAACAUAUGUGUAAGUAACUGUGCACAUCUUGACGGUACCUAAUCAGAAAGCCACGGCUAACUACGUGCCAGCAGCCGCGGUAAUACGUAGGUGGCAAGCGUUAUCCGGAAUUAUUGGGCGUAAAGCGCGCGUAGGCGGUUUUUUAAGUCUGAUGUGAAAGCCCACGGCUCAACCGUGGAGGGUCAUUGGAAACUGGAAAACUUGAGUGCAGAAGAGGAAAGUGGAAUUCCAUGUGUAGCGGUGAAAUGCGCAGAGAUAUGGAGGAACACCAGUGGCGAAGGCGACUUUCUGGUCUGUAA